RNAcentral lists this ribosomal RNA (762 nucleotides) under Triticum aestivum (bread wheat). RNAcentral describes it as "partial small subunit ribosomal RNA". Lineage: Eukaryota; Viridiplantae; Streptophyta; Magnoliopsida; Poales; Poaceae. The record is from RNAcentral.
UCUUUAUUGACCAAACAAGUUUGGCGUUUGAUAGAUAAUCCCGGGUCUCUUUGUGCCACAAUACUUCGUGCAAAAUAUCUUCCUGAUGGUGACUUGCUUAAUGCAACUUUGAAGAAGAAGGCGUCCUCUACAUGGCAGAGUAUUAUGGAAGGAGUGAGUACACUCAAGUUGGGACAUGUUUGGAGAGUUGGAGGUGGGCAACAUAUUAAUAUUUGGUCUGAUGCAUGGGUACCACAGUCUCCAUCUAGAUUGCCGUUGACUAGAAGGGGCAAUCAACUACUCUCUAAGGUGACUGAUUUGAUUGACCCAACCACAGGCCAAUGGGAUAUACAACUAGUUGAGCAGACUUUUUGGCCUGUGGAUGUGUCUCGUAUACUCUCUAUCCCGCUACCAUCAUAUGAUAUGGCAGAUUUUGUGGUUUGGAACUUGACAAAAAUGGGAGCUUUCUCGGUUAGGCCGGCUUACUAUGCGGUCUGGAAGGAUAAAUAUGGAUCAAGGGCUACAACAGAUCGUCCUAGUGCAGCGAAUAUAAAUCCAAUAUGGGAUGUUGUGUGGAAAUUGGGUUGCCCAACGAAGGUUAAAAAUUUUCUUUGGAGAGCUCUUCAUGGCACCCUGCCAUGCCAUGUAACCCUAGCUGAUAGACAUAUGAAGGUAAAUACAAAAUGCCUAGCAUGCGAGUUACAUGAAAGUGUUAAACAUAUGCUUUUCCAAUGUCAAAAAGCAAGACAGAUCUGGUUGGGUUUGGGGUUGGAAGAUGUCAUU